AAGAGAGAGUUAAAGAGGACGUGAAACCGAUGAGGUGGAAACGGAUAGAGCUUGCGUAUCUGGCCUGUAUUCAGCCAUUUUUUUGCUGACCUCCAUUAGCUGGCACUCCAGAUUGGGACGGCUGUUGGGGCGCUUUGGUGACAAAGUGGUGCAUUUGCAGGUGGAGUGCGGUAGAGGCGAAUGGAAUGGCGGCAUCAACUCAGCCUUGAGGCCAGCUUGCUGGUACCUAGACUCUGGGGUAGUGUUGUUCUUUCUGCUUGUAUUUUUGCAUGGCUUACAGACUUGUACGGGCUCCGAGCUGACAGUCAGAAGCGGUCGCAUGCGACACGUGCUGUACAAUCAGUUCGGUCCUGCACGAGCUCUCUUGCAUAUCCUCUGCGUAAAAGCUGGUCAUCUAUCUGACCCGUCUUGAAACACGGACCAAGGAGUUUAUCGUGUGCGCAAGUCAUUGGGCGUUAAAAACCCAGAGGCGCAAUGAAAGUGAACGUUUCCGCAAGGAACUGACGUGCGAUCCGGAGCACCACGGUGCUUGGGUGCAGCAUGGCCCCAUCCUGACUGCAUGCAGUGGGGUGGCGGAAGAGCGUACGCGGUGAGACCCGAAAGAUGGUGAACUAUUCCUGAGCAGGAUGAAGCCAGAGGAAACUCUGGUGGAAGUCCGAAGCGGUUCUGACGUGCAAAUCGAUCG
This 685-nucleotide ribosomal RNA is filed under the name Meloinema chitwoodi. RNAcentral's name for it is "partial large subunit ribosomal RNA". It matches the Rfam family "Eukaryotic large subunit ribosomal RNA", at positions 379 to 904 of the family's 3401-position model. The record is from RNAcentral. Lineage: Eukaryota; Metazoa; Nematoda; Chromadorea; Rhabditida; Heteroderidae.